Long non-coding RNA from Colias croceus (clouded yellow), 1284 nucleotides. RefSeq lists it as uncharacterized. The record is from RefSeq and is a predicted model, not a curated record. The transcript has 3 exons. Lineage: Eukaryota; Metazoa; Arthropoda; Insecta; Lepidoptera; Pieridae.
AAAAUGCAUAGUAAUGUGAGCGCUCACCUAUUUGUAAAUUAAAACGCCUCUCCGCUCAGUUGUUUACUAGUUGUGGUCGCAGGUAGUAAGAUCGUAAGAAAUACAGCAAAAUGUGUGGCUGCGUCUGUAAUCUUUUCUGCAAGCUUGUGAGCUUAUUCUUCUCCUUGUUAUUCAUCGUGGCCAUAAUAUUACUUAUAUUAUGGGCUGUUGGAGUUAUCUUCGUAUAGCGAGAAUCAAAAUUAGUCUCAAAUUAGGAGAAUGGAGAGACUGAAGAAAAGACGCAUAAUAAGAUGUAUUUUAUAACUAAUUUUAUUUUUAUAAAAAACAUGUGAAUCCAAAGAGAAUAAUGUGACAUAGAAUAUAUUUUAAUUAUUAUUUCAUAAGGGACAUUCCGACUCUAAAGAGAUACAACAAAAUGAAAUAUAUCCUUUAUAAACACAUUUAACUAGGCAAUAGACAAAUAAUUCAAUAUUCAUAUUCAUAUUUUAUAAUUACGUUAAUAACCUUUUAAUUGAUUUUCAAUCACCCUCAUAAUGCCAUAUAUUUCUGAAUUUUCAAUUAUUUAUCUGUUAUUCUCUCAACUACAAUUCUUAAAGCGUAUCAGUGGGUAUUAGAAGAUAAUAUUAUGACUAAAUUAUAUAUGUAUAAUAACAUGUAUUAACACAAUCUUUUAUCUAACAUAUUGCAAGUAACAAUAAUAAUACAGUAUUACAAUAUUAUAUAGAUAUUGUACUACUGUGAUAAUAAUAUGAUAAUUGAAAUGUAGGACAACAACGAAACGAUGGUUAUAAGUAUAAGAUUUGUCCAAAAUGCUUUUCAUUGCUAAGUGCAAAUUGUGAUCCCGGUAUCUGUAAUCAGUGUCGGGAAAAACUACGAUAAGAUAAGAUAUUUGUGUAACGCACAUAUAAAAAGUUUAGUCAUGUACUUUUUAUAUUUCAUACUUUUUUGCUUCUGCCGUCCUUAUCUUCUUUUGUUAGAAAAUGUAUUCCCAGGUUAUACAUUCACACCUAACAAGUUUUCCUUUAUUGUUUUGUCAAUUGUUAUGUUUUGGUGUAAAUAACAAUUGUAACAUAAUAACAAAAUUCUUUUCUAUAACUGACUCUCUUCAAUUUUGUUAAUGGUCUCUUCUAUUAUGUUUUAUUGGUUAAUUUUUUAUUUUAUUUUAUUUAUUUGUUAGAUUUUGUAUUUUAGUUGUAAAAUAAUAAGUGUAUCAGAAUCAAAAGUGUAUUGUGACGUACCUAAGUUAAAGUAUAUGAUUUGUUUUAAUAAAAUCUAGAUAACUAA